This 2269-nucleotide long non-coding RNA is filed under the name Sorghum bicolor (sorghum). Its description in RNAcentral is "long non-coding RNA (SBIC_LNC013652)". Lineage: Eukaryota; Viridiplantae; Streptophyta; Magnoliopsida; Poales; Poaceae. The record is from RNAcentral.
UGCAACUAUACUAAUUGCCUACAACAUUGUUAUCCUUGAUUCUUACUUUCAAGUUCCCCAAUUUGCUGCAGAGACUUAGCCUAAGACUUGCGGGGAAAUAUUAAAAUAGCAUCUUAAAGUUAAUGUGACCAUAUUUAAAGAUAUUUCAAAGAGAAAUUUACUAUAAAACAAAAAAUACAAAUCAUGAAUGCUUCAAGGCAAUUAUCUCAAAAUUCUUUAAGCUAAGUGACACAUCUUAAUAUUUCCCAUGCUAAUGCUACAGUGAUAUUUGGCAGUACAAAUCGAGCAAAAUAAAAAAUGAUUCAAAGUUCAAUUAAUAUGUUCACACAACAGUCAAAGAGUUGGAACCACAAUUGAGCAAACCCUCCAUCGCAAUUUCCUGACCAAGCAUAGUAAAGAGUCAAAAGAAUGUUCGUGACACAAUAAAGUUAUUAUUGUACCAAUCAAAGCUUAAAGAGUAAUUUUUCCAAGUUACAACACAAAUUAAUUGGGCUAACACAAAUUAAAGAGUCAAAUAAAACAGCAGGCUAACUUAAAUUGAAGAAAUACAGACCAAUUGGGCUGGAAUCAUCCUUGAAGUUUGACAACUGCACAACCCGCACUCUCUGUGUAAAUUUAAGGAACUCUUUGCAGAAUGCAGGAUCACCAGCACAUUUAGAGUCAUACAAUCUUAAUUGAACUCCACCAUACAGUUCAGGCAUGAGUUAAAAAAAUGCAAAAAAUAAGCCAAAAGGAUAAUUUGUGCAAGAAAUCAUGCAUGUCAUACACAUAUCUACAUGCAUGGCUUUCACAUAGAAGCAGGAGUAGACAUCACGCUUUUAUAAUAUUAUUAUUUUCGAGAAGAUAAGUUUAACCUACACUACACUAGCUAUAUAUUUGGGUAUAUAGUUGGACUGAAGCUGCAGCCGUGCCAUACAUGUACAUGCAUGACUAUAAUUAGAUAGAUUACAUAUAAUUAAGCAGGCAAAAACAUUGUGCGAUGAUAUGUACUGUAAGUAUGUAUAUACCUAUUGCUACUUUCAAAAUAAUUAAUUAAACAAGUGAUGUUUCAGGACAGUGAGCCACUCUGCAGCUGGCCGAGUUGAGAUAAAAUGUAAGUAUGUAUAUACCUAUUGCUACUUUCAAACCAUCAUAUAUCAGUUAGUUCCAAUUUUUAGCUACAGGACAGUGAGUUGAGAUAAAAUGUAAGCAACCGACCCAAGAAUCUAAAGCAAAUCAACCUAAAAUCAAAUUAACAGAGUACCUCAAAUUAUAUUAUCUGUUAAAAUUUUAAACUUAAGCACUAAUAUAUGAUGUUGAAGGUGUCAAACUUCCAGACACAGCGCACCACCAGAAAAAUACCAGUACGCUUAACGGAAAUCACAGAAACGCAUACAUAGAGGACCUAAGGUGAAAACCCCAGCAUAUACUUGGGCCAAUGCUUACUAGAGAACACUACAAGUCAACAUCCGCGCUUAAGGACCGGAGCAAAUCUUAACAAGACGCUCCUCAACUAGAGAUCUAUAAGUCAACAAGCAGUUCAAGACAUGUUCAAUAUGGUUUAAGGGAUUAAUUCAAUUCCCAAUAUCCGAACCCAGCGCAGAGAAGUAGCAUAUAAUCCGAAAGCUUUGUUCGCUGAGAGAAAAACACAUCUCAAGCGAACAUGCUAACGGUAACAGGGGCGACAUAGGUGAUUUUUGCAAAAAGUUUGAAGUUAGUAGGAAUCAAACAGCCAAAUAGCUUGAGGUUAGAGUUUGGGAGCUCGGUUUCGCACAGCAAACGGGGAAGAGAAGGGGAUGGCAAUACGGGGAAGAGAAGGGGAUGGUAACUGGUCGCGAGCAGACGGUGUCGCACAGCAGCCGGGGCCUCCUGGUCGCGAGCCACUCUGCAGCUGGCCGAGGCCACACCGCGCGCUCGCCCGUACCGUGAGCAGGCGCAGCCCGAGGUCGGACCGCUCAAGCGCCCCGAAGCCGCGAGCGCCGCAUCAGGAGUCGGGGUGGGGCCGCGCCACCACAGAGGACCCGCGAGGCCGAGCCUCGCGUGCGCCCGCAAGGCCGCCCCGCCGCAGAGGUUCGCCAAGCCACGCACAGGCCUGCGGGCCGCCGCCUGGGCGAGCGCUCCCCGUCCCCGCACGCCGACCGGACGCGCGAGCCGCGCGCAGGCUGCGGGCCGCCACCGCUUGCCGCAGUUGCCGGCCGGCCGGCUUCCGCAUGCGCGCCCCACCCGAGGCCGCUGCUGUGCCGCGCAGGUCUCCUGGCCGGCAGCUGCGUGGUGCUCCUCCGUUCUCUCU